UGGGGAAUAUUGCACAAUGGGCGCAAGCCUGAUGCAGCCAUGCCGCGUGAGUGAAGAAGGCCUUAGGGUUGUAAAGCUCUUUCAGUGGUGAAGAUAAUGACGGUAGCCACAGAAGAAGCCCCGGCCAACUCCGUGCCAGCAGCCGCGGUAAUACGGAGGGGGCUAGCGUUGUUCGGAAUUACUGGGCGUAAAGCGCGCGUAGGCGGAUCGGUUAGUUGGGGGUGAAAUCCCGAGGCUCAACCUCGGAACUGCCCUCAAUACUGCCGAUCUUGAGUUCGAGAGAGGUGAGUGGAAUUCCUAGUGUAGAGGUGAAAUUCGUAGAUAUUAGGAAGAACACCAGUGGCGAAGGCGGCUCACUGGCUCGAUACUGACGCUGAGGCGCGAAAGCGUGGGGAGCAAACAGGAUUAGAUACCCCCGUAGUCC
Molecule: ribosomal RNA, 424 nt
Filed under: uncultured prokaryote
Description: bacterial SSU rRNA
Rfam family: Bacterial small subunit ribosomal RNA
Source: RNAcentral